This 293-nucleotide ribosomal RNA is filed under the name uncultured bacterium. Its description in RNAcentral is "partial 16S ribosomal RNA". It matches the Rfam family "Archaeal small subunit ribosomal RNA", at positions 455 to 747 of the family's 1478-position model. The record is from RNAcentral.
GUGCCAGCAGCCGCGGUAAUACCGGCAGCCCGAGUGAUGGCCGAUCUUAUUGGGCCUAAAGCGUCCGUAGCUGGCCAGACAAGUCCGUUGGGAAAUCCACGCGCUCAACGCGUGGGCGUCCAGCGGAAACUAUCUGGCUUGGGGCCGGAAGACUCGAGGGGUACGUCCGGGGUAGGAGUGAAAUCCUGUAAUCCUGGACGGACCACCGGCGGCGAAAGCGCCUCGAGAAGACGGACCCGACAGUGAGGGACGAAAGCCAGGGUCUCGAACCGGAUUAGAUACCCGAGUAGUCC